CAACGGGGGUAUUCCCCCUAGUACGGCGAGUGAAGCGGGAAGAGCUCAAAUUUGAAAUCUGGUAGCCUUCGGUUGCCCUAGUUGUAAUCUAGAGAAGUGUUUUCCGUGCCGGCCCAUGUACAAGUCCCUUGGAACAGGGCGUCAUAGAGGGUGAGAAUCCCGUCCUUGACAUGGACCCCCGGUGCUUUGUGAUACACUUUCAACGAGUCGAGUUGUUUGGGAAUGCAGCUCAAAAUGGGUGGUGAAUUCCAUCUAAAGCUAAAUAUUGGCGAGAGACCGAUAGCGAACAAGUACCGUGAGGGAAAGAUGAAAAGCACUUUGGAAAGAGAGUUAAACAGUACGUGAAAUUGUUGAAAGGGAAACGAUUGAAGUCAGUCAUGCUCUUUGGUAUUUAUAUCAUUGAGUGGGGUCAACAUCAGUUUUGAGCGAUGGAUAAAGGCACUAGGAAGGUAGCACUCUCGGGUGAACUUAUAGCCUAGCGUCAUAUACAUUGUUUGGGACUGAGGAACGCAGCAUGCCUUUAUGGCCGGGAUUCGUCCACGUACAUGCUUAGGAUGUUGACAUAAUGGCUUUAAACGACCCGUCUUGAAACACGGACCA
RNAcentral lists this ribosomal RNA (600 nucleotides) under Naganishia diffluens. RNAcentral's name for it is "eukaryotic LSU rRNA". It matches the Rfam family "Eukaryotic large subunit ribosomal RNA", at positions 66 to 668 of the family's 3401-position model. Lineage: Eukaryota; Fungi; Basidiomycota; Tremellomycetes; Filobasidiales; Filobasidiaceae. The record is from RNAcentral.